This 464-nucleotide ribosomal RNA is filed under the name Selenomonas sp. oral taxon F19. RNAcentral's name for it is "bacterial SSU rRNA". It matches the Rfam family "Bacterial small subunit ribosomal RNA", at positions 28 to 468 of the family's 1533-position model. Lineage: Bacteria; Bacillati; Bacillota; Negativicutes; Selenomonadales; Selenomonadaceae. The record is from RNAcentral.
GACGAACGCUGGCGGCGUGCUUAACACAUGCAAGUCGAACGGGAUGAUCUUAAAGCUUGCUUUUAGAGAAUCUAGUGGCAAACGGGUGAGUAACACGCAGACAACCUGCCGACAGGAUGGGGACAACAUUCCGAAAGGAAUGCUAAUACCGAAUGAAGUCAGAGAAGGGCAUCCUUUUCUGAUGAAAGAUGGCCUCUUUUUAUGCUAUCACCUGUUGAUGGGUCUGCGUCUGAUUAGCUAGUUGGUGAGGUAACGGCUCACCAAGGCGACGAUCAGUAGCCGGUCUGAGAGGAUGAACGGCCACAUUGGGACUGAGACACGGCCCAGACUCCUACGGGAGGCAGCAGUGGGGAAUCUUCCGCAAUGGGCGCAAGCCUGACGGAGCAACGCCGCGUGAGUGAAGAAGGUCUUCGGAUCGUAAAGCUCUGUUGACGGGGACGAACGUGCGGAGUGCGAAUAGCGCU